AGGAUUUGGUGAGGAAAAAGUGAAAGAUGACUCCUAAAAAAAGUUUCCUAAAGGACUAACUUUUAGAAGACAUGAGUAAUGAGGGGAGGAUAGACUUAGAGGUUAGAGUUUCUUAAAAGAAACAAGGUUAAGACAAGGCAACCUUUACCACCCUUCAUAUUCAACAUUGUGGUCAAAGGAUUGACUUUUAUACUUAGGAAAAGAAUUAGUAAGAAACAUCUUAAAU
RNAcentral lists this long non-coding RNA (226 nucleotides) under Carica papaya (papaya). RNAcentral's name for it is "long non-coding RNA (CPAP_LNC004466)". Lineage: Eukaryota; Viridiplantae; Streptophyta; Magnoliopsida; Brassicales; Caricaceae. The record is from RNAcentral.